Pelobates cultripes (western spadefoot toad) is the source of this 417-nucleotide non-coding RNA. Lineage: Eukaryota; Metazoa; Chordata; Amphibia; Anura; Pelobatidae. The record is from the annotation of a GenBank genome assembly.
CACCUCUACUCCAGUAUAAAAAAUUCCACUCUGCCAUUUGUUUACCAAAUACUUUGAAAAUCAGCUUCUUAGAUUCAAGCACACUUCCACAGCGGUUUUCAAGAAGGCUGACUAAAUCUCCUUACACGCUUAAGUUUUGUGCUCACCUCUGCUCCAGUAUAAAGAAUUCCACUCUGCCUUUUGUUUGCCAAACACUUUGAAAAUCAGCUUCUUAGAUUCAGGCACACUUCCACAGCGGUUUUCAGGCAGGCUGCCAUUCCACUACCUUAUCUUGCUGUGAGACAAAGUUGUAAUAGAAACGAGGAAGCAAAUUAAUACAGAUUUCCCUUCAGUCACAUAUAUUCAACCCGCACAGCAAGCGAGCCCUUCAGUGCAGUCUUGGAUUGCCGCUCUUGUGGGGACAUGCAUCGAGUGUCU